Molecule: ribosomal RNA, 571 nt
Filed under: uncultured bacterium
Lineage: Bacteria
Description: partial 16S ribosomal RNA
Rfam family: Bacterial small subunit ribosomal RNA
Source: RNAcentral
UGGGGAAUUUUGGACAAUGGGCGAAAGCCUGAUCCAGCAAUGCCGCGUGUGUGAAGAAGGCCUUCGGGUUGUAAAGCACUUUUGUCCGGAAAGAAAUCCUUGGCUCUAAUACAGUCGGGGGAUGACGGUACCGGAAGAAUAAGCACCGGCUAACUACGUGCCAGCAGCCGCGGUAAUACGUAGGGUGCAAGCGUUAAUCGGAAUUACUGGGCGUAAAGCGUGCGCAGGCGGUUUGCUAAGACCGAUGUGAAAUCCCCGGGCUCAACCUGGGAACUGCAUUGGUGACUGGCAGGCUAGAGUAUGGCAGAGGGGGGUAGAAUUCCACGUGUAGCAGUGAAANUGCGUAGAGAUGUGGAGGAAUACCGAUGGCGAAGGCAGCCCCCUGGGCCAAUACUGACGCUCAUGCACGAAAGCGUGGGGAGCAAACAGGAUUAGAUACCCUGGUAGUCCACGCCCUAAACGAUGUCAACUAGUUGUUGGGGAUUCAUUUCCUUAGUAACGUAGCUAACGCGUGAAGUUGACCGCCUGGGGAGUACGGUCGCAAGAUUAAAACUCAAAGAAUUGACGGGGU